GAGACUGCCGGUGUUAAGCCGGAGGAAGUGGGGAUGACGUCAAGUCCUCAUGGCCUUUAUGCCCAGGGCUACACACGUGCUACAAUGGGCGGUACAAAGAGAAGCAACCUCGCGAGGGUGAGCAAAUCUCAAAAGACCGUUCUCAGUUCGGAUUGAAGUCUGCAACUCGACUUCAUGAAGUCGGAAUCGCUAGUAAUCGCGGAUCAGCAUGCCGCGGUGAAUACGUUCCCGGGCCUU
Molecule: ribosomal RNA, 237 nt
Filed under: uncultured Syntrophaceae bacterium
Lineage: Bacteria; Pseudomonadati; Thermodesulfobacteriota; Syntrophia; Syntrophales; Syntrophaceae
Description: partial 16S ribosomal RNA
Rfam family: Bacterial small subunit ribosomal RNA
Source: RNAcentral